This is a non-coding RNA of Camellia sinensis, 1160 nucleotides long. The record is from RefSeq and is a predicted model, not a curated record. Lineage: Eukaryota; Viridiplantae; Streptophyta; Magnoliopsida; Ericales; Theaceae.
AGUAGCGAGUGACGAAGGCUAGCAGUGGCAACAGCGGUGACGAGGAUUUCAGCUAAUUGACGUUCAUUGAUCUCCGACAACGACACUAUCUACUCUUUCCGUUCAUUCUUCGAUUGAUCUCCUCUUCUCCUUUUCUCUAUAUCUGAAACCUUCUCUGGGACUCUAUAUUUUGUAAAUUGUAAUCUUCUUUAAUUCGCCAAAAAAAUUAGGGUUUCUUUUGUUUGUAAAUUAAGACGGUGUAAAGCAUGAUUAGAUUCACAAUCAGAAGAAAUUGCCAAAGCAAAUACACAAAUCACUCACCCAGCAAUCCAUGAAAUACACAAAUCACUCACCCAGCAAUCCAUCAAGUUCCUAAUCGGCAGAAGGUUGAUUGCCUUCAGGUAGAUGGUGUCUUACAGAAGGAAUCUCGUAUAUUGUGCAUCUACUAGGUGGGUGAUCAGAAUAGGGGUUAUCUGUUGGAGCUUAUGUUGACAAAGCUUCGUUGUGCAGCUGGUGAAGGCAAUAUACAAUCAUCUAGUGGAGGAAGUUCAGAUACAAGCAGUGGGAAAACUGAUCCUUCUCAUGGUCUCCAAAUUGUUGGUAUGACUGCAACCUUGCCAAGUGUGGCUGCUGUUGCUGAUUGGCUUCGAGACAAUGAAGUUAUGGGAAGUGGAUUUGGUCAUAAAUGCAUUGAAAAGUCAGUCUUAAGAGCAUCAGUAUCAAACUAGCUAAAAUCACUUUUUAGCUAAAUUAGUGAUACUGUUCAUCAAAAAUGGACUGCAUAGUCUCACCUCUCUCUCUUGCUAAUAUACGAGCGCUACAGUACCUCUCUGUCCUUGUUUGUAGGUGAACUUGAAUUGCCUUUUGUAAGUCUACUACUGGUGAUUUUGGCUCCUUAUCAACUUAUGAACCUAAGAUAUAUUCGGAGUAGAAGUUUGCUUCUUGUGGAUUUCAUGCCUGUGAAGAAUGCCACUAAUUUUUGUUUUUGUACCACAGAGAAUGCUGAGGAAAACUUUUAAUUUUGAUUUAUGUUAUUUUGAAUUAUGAAUAACAUUAUGUAUUUAAAUAUUAUAUAUGUAUUAUGGAAUAUUAUGUACUGGGUGAAUUUUGUUGAUGCAUAGUUAUGAAUGUAAGAAUAUGUUUAUUAUGGAGAAAUUAUUAUUUCUAUAUAGGAAUUUUUA